GACGAACGCUGGCGGCGUGCUUAACACAUGCAAGUCGAACGGAAAGGCCCUGCUUUUGUGGGGUGCUCGAGUGGCGAACGGGUGAGUAACACGUGAGUAACCUGCCCUUGACUUUGGGAUAACUUCAGGAAACUGGGGCUAAUACCGGAUAGGAGCUCCUGCUGCAUGGUGGGGGUUGGAAAGUUUCGGCGGUUGGGGAUGGACUCGCGGCUUAUCAGCUUGUUGGUGGGGUAGUGGCUUACCAAGGCUUUGACGGGUAGCCGGGCUGAGAGGGUGACCGGCCCCAUUGGGACUGAGAUACGGCCCAGACUCCUACGGGAGGGAGCAGUGGGGAAUAUUGCACAAUGGGCGGAAGCCUGAUGCAGCCACGCCGCGUGCGGGAUGACGGCCUUCGGGUUGUAAACCGCUUUCGCCUGUGACGAAGCGUGAGUGACGGUAAUGGGUAAAGAAGCACCGGCUAACUACGUG
This 468-nucleotide ribosomal RNA is filed under the name uncultured bacterium. RNAcentral's name for it is "partial 16S ribosomal RNA". It matches the Rfam family "Bacterial small subunit ribosomal RNA", at positions 28 to 507 of the family's 1533-position model. The record is from RNAcentral.